Molecule: long non-coding RNA, 552 nt
Organism: Dermochelys coriacea (leatherback sea turtle)
Lineage: Eukaryota; Metazoa; Chordata; Testudines; Dermochelyidae
Exons: 3
Source: RefSeq, a predicted model, not a curated record
AUCUCUUCUGACCCCCUGGGACAUCGCAGGCCAACGAGUUUCACCCAGUGACCCUGCGCUGAGCCCAAUAACCCGCAUUUGGCGAAAGCCCCUUCCAGAAAGGCCCCACUCUGGUCUAAGAUGGAGCCACGGCCCUCGGGAAUUUGUUCCCCUAGUGAUCCCCUCAACAUCAGACUAGUGCCUCCUGUCGCAGCUGGGAUUUGUCUGGCUGCAGCUGCUAGCCACUGGCUCCUCCGCCUUCCUUUGCUAGCUCAGAGGCUGCAGCUCGCAAGAUUUCUCCCCGGGAUGGCACUCAGAUCCCAUAACCAAGUCAGCUCUCAACCUUCAUCUGAGAAGCUCAGCAGAUUGCGCUGCGUCCAUCUCUCCCCAUCAGACCUUUUUCUCCAGCCUUAGAUCGUUUCUGGGGCUCGUCUCUGCCCCCUCUUCAGCUUUUCCACAGGCGCCCCCAGAACAGGACACAGGAUUCCAGGAUCCGUCUCACCAAGACAGAGGUAAAAUUGCCUCCCUUCUCCUCCUCACAGCUCCCCUGUUUAUACACCUGAGGACUGUGAC